This 468-nucleotide ribosomal RNA is filed under the name uncultured bacterium. Its description in RNAcentral is "partial 16S ribosomal RNA". It matches the Rfam family "Bacterial small subunit ribosomal RNA", at positions 28 to 507 of the family's 1533-position model. The record is from RNAcentral.
GAUGAACGCUGGCGGCGUGCUUAACACAUGCAAGUCGAACGGAGAGGCCCUGCUUUUGUGGGGUGCUCGAGUGGCGAACGGGUGAGUAACACGUGAGUAACCUGCCCUUGACUUUGGGAUAACUUCAGGAAACUGGGGCUAAUACCGGAUAGGAGCUCCUGCUGCAUGGUGGGGGUUGGAAAGUUUCGGCGGUUGGGGAUGGACUCGCGGCUUAUCAGCUUGUUGGUGGGGUAGUGGCUUACCAAGGCUUUGACGGGUAGCCGGCCUGAGGGGGUGACCGGCCCAAAUGGGACCGGGAUACGGGCCCGAAUCCUAAGGGAGGGCGGCGUGGGGAAUAUUGCCUAAAUGGCGGAAGCCUGAUGCAGCAACGCCGCGUGCGGGAUGACGGCCUUCGGGUUGUAAACCGCUUUCGCCUGUGACGAAGCGUGAGUGACGGUAAUGGGUAAAGAAGCACCGGCUAACUACGUG